This 342-nucleotide ribosomal RNA is filed under the name uncultured bacterium. RNAcentral describes it as "bacterial SSU rRNA". It matches the Rfam family "Bacterial small subunit ribosomal RNA", at positions 9 to 355 of the family's 1533-position model. The record is from RNAcentral.
GAGUUUGAUCCUGGCUCAGAUUGAACGCUGGCGGCAUGCUUUACACAUGCAAGUCGAACGGCAGCGCGGGGCAACCUGGCGGCGAGUGGCGAACGGGUGAGUAAUAUAUCGGAACGUACCCAAGAGUGGGGGAUAACGUAGCGAAAGUUACGCUAAUACCGCAUACGAUCCAAGGAUGAAAGCAGGGGACCGCAAGGCCUUGUGCUCCUGGAGCGGCCGAUAUCUGAUUAGCUAGUUGGUGAGGUAAAGGCUCACCAAGGCGACGAUCAGUAGCUGGUCUGAGAGGACGACCAGCCACACUGGAACUGAGACACGGUCCAGACUCCUACGGGAGGCAGCAGA